UACGUAGGUGGCAAGCGUUGUCCGGAUUUAUUGGGUUUAAAGGGUGCGUAGGCGGUCUUUUAAGUCAGUGCUGAAAUACUCCAGCUUAACUGGAGGGGUGGCAUUGAUACUGGAAGACUUGAGUGCAGUCGAGGUAUGCGGAAUUGACGGUGUAGCGGUGAAAUGCUUAGAUAUCGUCAAGAACACCGAUAGUGAAGACAGCUUACUAGGCUGCAACUGACGCUGAGGCACGAAAGUGUGGGGAUCAAACAGG
RNAcentral lists this ribosomal RNA (253 nucleotides) under uncultured bacterium. Its description in RNAcentral is "partial 16S ribosomal RNA". It matches the Rfam family "Bacterial small subunit ribosomal RNA", at positions 524 to 776 of the family's 1533-position model. The record is from RNAcentral.